NNNNNNNNNNNGCCAAGGGAGCAGGCUUGGCAGAAUCAGUGGGGAAAGAAGACCCUGUUCAGCUUGACUCUAGUCCGACUUUGUGAAGAGAUUUGGUGGGUGUAGCAAUAAGUGUAGGCUCAGUGUGUGCUGCUGCAUACAUUCUUGUGGCGGCGCGUGCGUGCGUGCGUGCUGGGGAUGGCAAUGAAAGACCUCUCCCAUCGAAUAAGCAAUGUGUAUAAAGCAGUUGGAUUGGCAUUGAAGCACAUGCUGACGUGUGGGAUCGAGCUCACUUGUCGACAUCCUCGGUCGCAGCUGGCUGGCCAUUGUCUGCUGCUGCUCCUGCCGCUGCUGUUGCGGUGGGCAUGUGGGUGGUGGGCAGUGGUGUUAUCAGUCGGAGUGUGUGUGCGACGUGCGACCCGAUCUAAAGACAUUAUCAGGCGGGGUGUUUGACUGGGGCGGUACAUCUGUCAAAUCGUAACGCAGGUGUCCCAAGAUGAGCUCAGCCAGGACAGAAACCUAGCAUGGAGUAGAAGUGCACGAGCUCACUUGAUUUUGGUUUUCAGUACGAAUACACACCGUGAAAGUGUGGCCUAUCGAUCCUUUUGAUAAUUCCACCACAUUCCAAGUUUGACGCAAGAGUUUUCAGAAAAGUUACCACAGGGAUAACUGGUUUGUGGCGGCCAAGUGUUCAUAGCUACGCCGACUUUUGAUCCUUUGAUGUAGGCUCUUCCUAUCAUUGUCUUGUUCACCCACUAAUAGGGAACGUGAGCUGGGUUUAGAUGGUCGUGAGAGAGGUUAGUUUUACCCUACUGAUGGGCACAGUGCGUGUGAUGAGUGAAGUGUAAGCAGGUCGCUGCUAUGGUAAUCUUGUUCAGCACGAGAGGAAUUGCAGGUUCAGAUAAUUGGUGCAUAUGCCUGGUCGAUCAGCCAAUGGUGCGAGGCUACCAUCUGAGGGAUUAAGACUGAACGCCUCCAUGUCUGAAUCCCAUCCAAAGAGAGAAAAGAUACACUACGGCCUCCACAUGGUGAGGCAGCUGUAGCACUUUCCAUUCGCCGCUUUCCUUCCCACGCAGCCAGCGUGCUGCAACGACCGCGAAUGGUCUGGCUGGUAGUGCGAGGCCAGAGCGUAGACCACAAGCACGUGCAUCAAAUGGUCAGGAUGCUGCGUGGAGGUCGAUACUAUAUCCAAUUGCAGAAUGAGUGUGGAGGCACAAAAUUGUGUGUACACAACUUAAUGCUUUGUGAAUGAGACUUAAUUACUCGAGCAGCUAUCACACUGCAAGGUAUUGAGUCCUAUCCCUACCUGACGUAAUGAUUU
RNAcentral lists this non-coding RNA (1300 nucleotides) under Echinococcus granulosus. RNAcentral describes it as "Eukaryotic large subunit ribosomal RNA". It matches the Rfam family "Eukaryotic large subunit ribosomal RNA", at positions 2359 to 3401 of the family's 3401-position model. Lineage: Eukaryota; Metazoa; Platyhelminthes; Cestoda; Cyclophyllidea; Taeniidae. The record is from Rfam by way of RNAcentral.